AUACGAAGGGGGCUAGCGUUGUGCGGAAUUACUGGGCGUAAAGCGCACGUAGGCGGAUUGAUAAGUUAGGGGUGAAAUCCCGAGGCUCAACCUCGGAACUGCCUUUAAUACUGUUAGUCUCGAGUCCGGAAGAGGUGAGUGGAAUUCCUAGUGUAGAGGUGGAAUUCGUAGAUAUUAGGAAGAACACCAGUGGCGAAGGCGGCUCACUGGUCCGGUACUGACGCUGAGGUGCGAAAGCGUGGGGAGCAAACAGGAUUAGAAACCCGAGUAGUCC
This 274-nucleotide ribosomal RNA is filed under the name uncultured bacterium. RNAcentral's name for it is "partial 16S ribosomal RNA". It matches the Rfam family "Bacterial small subunit ribosomal RNA", at positions 523 to 796 of the family's 1533-position model. The record is from RNAcentral.